GCCAAGCGCUCGCAGCUGCCACCCUGCGACUAAUGUUCGGUACUGCAGCUCGGAGGCUGCGAGUGCGCGGGGCUGCCCCUGUCCUGCACGUGCCGUCCGACGGUAACGGCAAUGCGGCACCGGCGGGAGGUGCCGCCGUGCUCGUUGCUUCCUCCCGGUAAGGAAAUGCCGCCGGAAAGGAAAGCUUGCGUGGGCUGUCUCUGCCUGGCCUCCCUCUCCGCGGCGCGGGAGCACAAAGGGACAGGCGGGGCACUUACCGGCUGUGGGCAGGAGCUGCUGCAGCUGAAGCUGGAGAGGCCAGAGAAAGGUAGAGAAGAAGAAAUGGAAGGCCGGCCAGCCGGCAGCUGCCUCCCGCUGCAGGCAAGAGGGAGCCUGCCUCUCCGUGUGUGGAAGGAUCCCUCCUCGUAGGCCGCAGCAGGGGGAGGAGGACAGCCGUGCAGCCGGAGUUACAGCAGAGGAGGCGAGCGGGAGAGGAGCAGAAAGAAGCGUCUGAACUGGCAAAUUCUCCUGGUAGUGCCAAGAACGAGAACUGCGAAGUGUUGUCGUAAGGGUGUGGUGAUGCUCAGCAGAUGCCCCAUCCUGUGGGAAGCACCCCCUCCAUGGGGCAGGCAGUGUGGAUUAUCUGGUGUUGGGUCAAGAACCCAGAGUGGAAUUGCUGUUGCAGAUUAUCCCAGACGAGUCUACCUACUGUGCAUUACCUGGGUGGAGCCCCUGGUGAACAUAAACCUCAUGCAUGCCCCGCCCCAGCCUGUGCAUGUUCUUGUGCACAUAUCUUACCACCCCAAAUUAGCCAUCUAACCCACCUUCCAUGCGAGUUUUUUCCCAUGUUGAUUGGUGGGGGCGUCACCCCCUUCCCCCCACCGGCCAUGUAUCCCUGAAGUUCCAUGUUUUCUUGGUGUCAUUUGUGGCUGCUGCUGCCGCCGUGUAAACCGCGGGGGGCGUGGCUUCUGCUGACCCUUUUCUGCGUGACUGCAGGGGGCGUUGUUGCCCCCCCGGCCUGUCUUUGUGGGGCAUGGCUGCUGCCUGGUCCCCCCCAUGUAUUUCCAUGGUUUUUUUUGGUGUCUUUUGCGCUUUGGGACUCUUGCACCUCUGUUAAGGGAGUCAGUUGGAGACACGCUCAGGGUGACUCUGAAUCAUUGCCUAUUCACAGUAAAUAAUUUAUU
This is a long non-coding RNA of Aquila chrysaetos chrysaetos, 1163 nucleotides long. RefSeq lists it as uncharacterized. The transcript is spliced from 3 exons. Lineage: Eukaryota; Metazoa; Chordata; Aves; Accipitriformes; Accipitridae. The record is from RefSeq and is a predicted model, not a curated record.